UGUAUAGCCUUGCAUUAUGAAAAGAGCACAGAACAGGAAGUUAGGACAUCUUGCUUUGAGGUCUAGAACAGCCAUCAACUAUAUGAUCUUGGGUGAGUCACUUCACCUCUCUGAACCUGUUUCCUCAAGAAAAAUAAGCAGAGUAGGCUGCCUGCGUGAUCUCAAGACAACACACUGUGCUAGAAUGAGUCUUACAGCAAGAGUUCAAAGUUCAAAUUCUAAUUCUAGAACUCGUUGAGUGUAAAAUUCACAGCAAGUCAUAGAACCUCUUGGAACCCCAGUUUCCACAUCUGGAAGAAGGGGCAGAAUAGUAUCAAAAAUGCUUCACUCCCAGGAAUGUGGUGAGCAUAAAAUUAAAUAAUGAAAAAGUCAACUAUAAAGCACUAAAUAAAUAUAAGAUGGUGAAUCUGACAGAGGAAGAAUUAAAUGACUUGUUCAAGGUCACCUUUGAGGAAUUUGCAGGAAGUUUAACUUAUGUAUAUUUUUCCCCUGUAGUACCCCAGGGGCCUAAUGACAGGAAAACAAAUGAAGUGGAUCCCCAUCUUCCACCCUUGCCUCCGCUAAGCCAUCAGAGGACAAGUUUCCCACCCCACUCUCUCCAAUUUCACUUGAAAAAUAAAACAGGCCUCCAGCUGUGAAAUGGAUUAUGCUCUACAACUAUGUACCUGGAAUAGAAGCCAUCAUUCUUCAUGAAGUUUGCUGAGAAUUAUGUAUCGCAGCCUGGCAGCUUCCUGUUCCCUCGUUAGCCUGCAUAUCCCACUUAACGAAAGAUUCGCCAUGCACUGACUUGUAUGUGACUCACAGUGUGCACAGUAUGCACUGACUGUGACCUGUCCCCAAAUGAACACAGUACCAGUCUAACGUACCACCUUACCUAUGGCUCUCUCCCAUACACACCCAAUCCACUGCAGGCAAAUGAUCUACCCACAAUCUCCCAAACACAGUCUUCACUGUCUGGUCACUGCUCCUUUACACGUGGCAUUCACUCUGCUUGCAGAGGCAUUUUAGAGUGGAUAUCUAAAGAAGGAGAUUUCUCCCAAGCAUGCACAUAGGAGGGCACUGGUCUGAUGCUCUGAUUGACAGUUCACUACUGCAAAGAGGACAGAUGAGAAAGCAGCUCAGCUCUUUGAUGCUAAGGAAAAAACACAGAACCUCACUUAUCUAUAUGUAAUCACAAACUUUAGUAUCCAUCAGUACCAAGCCAAAAUAGUUCCUGUUUGGACAUACAUUAUUAGAAAUUAACAACAAAAUUUAGUAAAUGGUUGGCCAGUUCUGAACGCAGAAUAGCCACCUCUGAGUGAGCAUUUUGAUCAAUCUAACUCACACAUUUCUGGUUCAACAAAGUUAUUAGAUGAGAAGACCCAAAACGGUGUGUAAAUGGGACACAGAUUUAUAAACAGUUAAUUUAUAAUCAUAUAUGGCAAAUUAACCUGUAUGUCACUAAUGUGCCACCAAUCAUAAGACAUGCCAUCAUUUAAUCUGUCAUGAAGAAGUGAAAAACUCAAUUAAACGGUGACAUCAUGCUUCCUGAUUAGAAAUGUUCAUUUUUUUGUUAUGCUAAAUUUACAUAAAUACAUAUUUAUUUAAACAACACGGGGCCACAAUAUGAACAUCUAUGCCCAAGUUUCUGCAUGCCCAGCAAUGACUGCCACCCUGACAAUGGUGACUGAUAUCAUCAAGUGUAACAUGCAUCCUGAUUCAAGUUGUUCAACUGUGACACAACGGGUACCUUAGCACUGAUGAAAUAUGGUACCCGCCUGCGUCACAUGAGCUUCUCAUGAUCCAGCAGCCUCUCCUCACCUGACACUGGCUCUAGUCCCCAGUAAUGACUCUGAUCCUGUUUGUCCUAGGAGUCUUCUCUUCCUUUGUUUCCCACUUCCCUCACUGGGCUACUCAGUAACCAGUUAGCUGUUAAGGCGCAAGCCUUUUUUUAUUUUAAUUUUUAUUUUUUCCAAAACUCCUCAACAAUUGCAAUUGCCACUUUGUUUCUACUAUUAUUGCCCUUGACUUAUUUCUUUAUUUAUUUAAGUUUCUUUUGUUUUUAAACAAGAAGGC
This 2055-nucleotide long non-coding RNA is filed under the name Homo sapiens (human). Its description in RNAcentral is "HSALNT0369812". The record is from RNAcentral. Lineage: Eukaryota; Metazoa; Chordata; Mammalia; Primates; Hominidae.